UUUUCAGAAGGACUACUUUGCAUUAUAUAUCAUUUUUUCUCCAUCCACUCAAACUUCUUGUAGACUUCUUUGCUUUUAUCUGCUGCAAUUAGACAGACAUGUUGCAAAUAAGAUUCCAUAAGACCGGAGUGAACAUAACAUUGUAUUUUUGUGUUUUUUGUUUUCCCAACGGCUAACAAAUGCAGCUGCACUUUUAUUUUUCCGUGAGCCCACGCUUGAGCUGGCCAGUUCGACCAGCCACAGCGGAGGCCACACGUGAUUUUUUUUUGUCGUUUAGUUUAAUACACCACAUGGCUGCAUGCAAGCAGAGAGUAGAGCAUGCAAUUCCUUGCAUUUAUUUCCGAUUUGAAAUAUUCAAAAAGCCAUAACUUUUCACUCGCGCAUUGGAAUUUUAAUCCGUUUGC
Molecule: long non-coding RNA, 404 nt
Filed under: Brachypodium distachyon (stiff brome)
Lineage: Eukaryota; Viridiplantae; Streptophyta; Magnoliopsida; Poales; Poaceae
Description: long non-coding RNA (BDIS_LNC000907)
Source: RNAcentral